CUGGUUUUCUUCGACGUGGUUAGGUCUUCAUGGAAGACUAAAACUGUUUGUCUGCGAAUGUAAUGAAUUUAUUUCGUUAUUUAAAUAAGUCUGUGGAUAUUGAGAUUUAGAGUUCACACAUCUGAAAAUAAAAGGUUUAUCUGCAAAUUGGAUUCAAAUGAAGGAAAAUCUUCAUAAGGAUAUCUCUGCUCGUAUGUUGACGCUCCAAAAUUGAAGUACAGCGGGAUUCUGAUGACUUGGUGGCUAACUUCCGCCCUCAAACGGGUGCAUUUUCUGAGAAGAAACGUUUGAAAUGGAGAGAAAUGAUAACUCCAUAUCUGACCUAGAAGUUUUCGGAGCAAAAUUGGGAAAAGUUGUCUACAUAUCUAUUACCAAUAUUCAAGUCGAAAUUUCUUCUGAAAUCAAGACUCUCUAUUUUUUUGAACAAGGUGUGAGAUGGCGGCUCUGGAAUAGAAUACAGGAUUAGAUGUAACUGGCCUUCGUAUAAGCAACUGAUGUGCUCAUAAUGCAAUGCAACUGCUAUUGAUAAUCAAUAACGCAGAAAGUUUGUCACAAUCACGUCGUCCUUUCAAGUAAGAUCACAUGAUUUUGGAAUCUUAGACGAAAUUGUCCAAUAGUAGAAUUAAGAAUAUUAAUUACUAGUUAUUAAG
Molecule: long non-coding RNA, 650 nt
Organism: Argiope bruennichi
Lineage: Eukaryota; Metazoa; Arthropoda; Arachnida; Araneae; Araneidae
Exons: 3
Source: RefSeq, a predicted model, not a curated record